AGUGAACGCUGGCGGUAGGCCUAACACAUGCAAGUCGAACGGCAGCACAGUAAGAGCUUGCUCUUACGGGUGGCGAGUGGCGGACGGGUGAGGAAUACAUCGGAAUCUACUUUUUCGUGGGGGAUAACGUAGGGAAACUUACGCUAAUACCGCAUACGACCUACGGGUGAAAGCAGGGGAUCUUCGGACCUUGCGCGAUUGAAUGAGCCGAUGUCGGAUUAGCUAGUUGGCGGGGUAAAGGCCCACCAAGGCGACGAUCCGAAGCUGGUCUGAGAGGAUGAUCAGCCACACUGGAACUGAGACACGGUCCAGACUCCUACGGGAGGCAGCAGUGGGGAAUAUUGGACAAUGGGCGCAAGCCUGAUCCAGCCAUACCGCGUGGGUGAAGAAGGCCUUCGGGUUGUAAAGCCCCUUUGUUGGGAAAGAAAAGCAGCAGGUUAAUACCCCGCUGUUCUGACGGUACCCAAAGAAUAAGCACCGGCUAACUUCGUG
This 492-nucleotide ribosomal RNA is filed under the name uncultured bacterium. RNAcentral's name for it is "partial 16S ribosomal RNA". It matches the Rfam family "Bacterial small subunit ribosomal RNA", at positions 29 to 507 of the family's 1533-position model. The record is from RNAcentral.